This 431-nucleotide ribosomal RNA is filed under the name Camaena hemiclista. Its description in RNAcentral is "partial large subunit ribosomal RNA". It matches the Rfam family "Bacterial large subunit ribosomal RNA", at positions 1803 to 2608 of the family's 2925-position model. Lineage: Eukaryota; Metazoa; Mollusca; Gastropoda; Stylommatophora; Camaenidae. The record is from RNAcentral.
UUUAUCAAAAACAUAGCGGUGCGUUACUAUGCACGGUAAUUUCUGCUCAAUGAAGAUUAAAUAGCCGCAGUACCCUGACUGUGCAAAGGUAGCAUAAUCAUUUGGCUUAUAAUUGAAGUCUGGAAUGAAUGAACACACAGAUGACUACUGUCUCGUUGCGCUCUGUAGACCUUACUUAGCGGGUGAAAAUGCCGGCGGGUAAAUAUUAGACGAGAAGACCCUAGAAAUUUUGAUGAUUCGUUUUUGUUGGGGCGACAGAGUAGCCGAACCUACUUUAAACCAUGCGCAGCCAUUGGGUAGUAAAGAUAAAUUACUCUAGGGAUAACAGCAUAAUUUAUUAAAGUUUGUGACCUCGAUGUUGGACUAGGAAAUUGGUAUUUAGAAGACUCACAAUAAUGCUCUGUUCGAGCAGUAUCUCCUACGUGAUCUGA